Long non-coding RNA from Oreochromis aureus, 1481 nucleotides. The record is from Ensembl. NCBI's taxonomy places the organism in Eukaryota, Metazoa, Chordata, Actinopteri, Cichliformes, Cichlidae.
CGGCCCUCAAAUGCGUCCUUCAUUUCCCUGAAUUUUAAGGAUAUGGCGAUGUAGACUUCGUGGCCCAACAUAUCCCAGAAUGCAUAGCGCAGCCCGGCCAAUUCAGUUUGCAAUGAUGGCAGCAAGUACAGACGUGGCAGAAACAGCGGCGGAGGGCACCCACAUCCAUAAAUGUAGGUUACGUCGGAAGUACCGACACAAUUGUCAAAAUGCAAAAGAUAAUGGCGGUGUAACUGUACAUGUCACGGUGAAUUCAUUCUCAGCCGUCACACGUAGGUGACUGUAAAUACACAGUCCCGCUGAUUUGUAACUGGUCGGUUUUUAUAUUACCCUGUGAGGGUCACCGACAAAAACCUGAAGAUAACAAAAUACAAAAAUGUAGCCGUGUAAACUCCAAAUAUCUGCGCAAUGUGGCAACACAUCACAUAUCUGCACAAGUGCGCUGACGUUGUCGGAGACAUCUGUUACCGAACAGCGUACUCCGUUCCAACGCCCCCGCCCGCGCUCUGUCGCCACUCAGGUUAAACAUGUCACAGAAGUCACCCAAAUAACUUACAAAUGUUAUUGCUUGGCCUAUGACAGUGUUGCAUUUGUUCCUGAGAAAAUCGGCUUGGCUGAGAGUGAAGUUGGGAGUCUGCACACAGCUGAAUGUGCAAACCUAUCAUACUACACGUCAAACAGAAAAAUGAUGACACAGAAGUGUAAGAUGGUAGAAAAUGUACUCCGAUGUCCUGUCAUAUUCCAGGGAGUAAGGAGGAGAUGGCUGAGCUCAUCAAACUCCGGGGUGAAAACAAACACCUGUUCACUGGUGCCAGGAACUCAGCCGCUGCGGGUUGGAGGGCAAUCCUGGAGCAGAUGGGCCUGGCGGGCCAAAUCACCCCGUUGCAGGCGGGAAAAAAAAUGGGACAAUCUAAAGAAAAAAUACAAAGAUUGCAAGUAUCCCGCAUCAGGUGAGGGGGUGAGUGGGAAGACCACUGCUGCCACUUGGCCCUGGUUUGUCCCAAUGGAUGAGGUCCUAGGACAGAGGCCUUCUACCAGGCCUCCAGUCCUAAUUGCCUCCAUGCAGGAGGACACUCCAGGGCCCAGUACAGCAGUGGGCACCCAAGAGCAGGAUGUGGAACGGCGGGAGAAUGAGGCCCAGCUGGAGGCACGGCCAGAAAAGAGGAAGAGGGACAGGGAGGAUGAAGUCCUGGAAUUGAUAAAAAAGGACAUGAGGAUACAGAGGGAGAUUGAAGAAAGACGUGCUGAGCGAAUGGACAGGAUCAUAUGUCUACUGGUUGUGGAAAAACAAAAUGAGUAAGGUAGUGUGAAUAGGACCCAUUGUACAAACACUUACAGUUGUCAUAUUUAUGUUUGUGCAGGAUAUGUGAAAUGUGGACGAAAUAAUUUAAGUUCUGUUAAUACAAGUUGCACUUUUUAUUUGAAUUGUUGAACAAAUGUGAAAAAUGAACAGAAUGUACAAAGUCCUGUGAAUAAAAAAA